GGAGGGAGUACAUGUUUGGAUGUUGUUGUUGGUUACAAAAUGCCAAAACAAUAGAGGGUGGCUCUAGAACAAGGCACUUGUCCAAAAAGCUUCUAGGGGACUGAGUGACUAGAAUGUUGUGUCUUGAGUGAACCCAGGACUCAUCUAUUUAUAGCCUCAAUGGGCCGAGCCUUUUUGGGUAGAAGACCCUUCUACCGUCGGUACGAUUGAUAUGAACCCGCUAGGGUUGAUUCCCGAUCUUUCGAUAAGAGGCGUGGGAUAACUC
This 265-nucleotide long non-coding RNA is filed under the name Setaria viridis. Its description in RNAcentral is "long non-coding RNA (SVIR_LNC001627)". The record is from RNAcentral. Lineage: Eukaryota; Viridiplantae; Streptophyta; Magnoliopsida; Poales; Poaceae.